GCUCACCAAACUCAAUCGAAGACUCGACAGCCAUUUCUCGAUCGCCAAUCGCCGCCCUAGCAUCAUCGCCUCAAACCAAUGUCGCCCAAAAUGGUAGAAGCAAAAACAAUAAGUUUAUUCCUCUAUCUCUGUUUCUAUCCUAUCAAUCAAUACACUGAUGACCACUGCAUCCGAAAUUAAAACAAUGUUUCUAAAAGUGCUGGUACUAAUUUCAAUUUCAAUUUUUUGUGGGUUAAUUAAUAUUGAAAUUGAAAUUUUGAAAUUGGGUUUUUUAAAUCAAGAUCGGAUUUUGGUUUGAAAACAACAAUGAAACAUGGUGGUUCAAUGUUUAUCAUCUUGAAAUACUGCAACGUAGAACUCCUGGGCCGAUGCAGCCCUCCACGUGCGGCAGAUUCACCGUUUGGAAGGGUGUCGCAGUGGUGUAUUUCUCUGCACCAGCGGCACCUAUGGUUCAAAGGUUAUAGUAUCUCUUUUAUUUCAAUGCUCUUUUUAGAGGUGUUUCACUCUUUACGCAGAACUGUUGGACUUAUGCUUUAAUGAUAUUUAGAGCAUAAAGUUGAAUGAAUUGUGUUUUAUGUAUGUAUUCUGCUCCUUGAAGUGUCCAUAUGUCCCUCUAAUGAUUGGUUCUUAUGUGCUUAUAAUUUGUAAUUAUUAGCCAUAAAAUUCAGCAGUUUGAAUAUAAGCAGUGCAGUUUUCACCCUAUUGAUCUAAAUAUUAUGUGAGUGACCGUUGAGUUAUCGUCAUCUAGCAUUCAUGUUCUCUAAGUGAUUUUUGAGUUUACUCCAAAUAAUUUUUAUUUCUAUUCUCUUCGAUGAAUUCUUUAUGCGAUUAUCCAAAUCAUUUUGAUUUAUGUCUUUUAUUUCUUAAUUUUCUUAUAGUUAUUGCAUUUGCUUCAUAGGUACCUGAAUGCGUAUGUUCAUGGGUUUCCUUAGAGGCAUUGAGAUUCUAAGUAUCAAUGUCUCGAAAGGUAUUUAUUGAGUAAUCAUUAAACUUUGUCAUCUUCUCUUCACGGGUUGUCAUUAGAGGCCUUGAAUUCAUUUCUCAUACAUUUGUGUUGUUGGUUUACUCAACUAGAAAUUGAUCCACCUCCCCAUGCCUACAUACCGAUCAGGCUCCAUUUGGAUCCAAAUAAUAUUGGAUGGAAGCUAGAUUUGUGUUUAGUUGUGGAUUUCUUUGAUUAUGAAUAAGCUUCUUCACAUGUUUCAUUUGCAACUUGAGAAGAGGGCUUAUUUUGUAAAGUUAAUUACUUUGAAUUGAAAUUGUGAAUUUAAUAGGAUGUUUGUUUCUUUCUAAUCUUAUUGCAAGCUUAUUUAAUUCCUAGAAAUGAAAGAAUGCCAUGAUAGAGCAAAAAAAUUGAUGGUGUCAUAAAUAUCUUUGCUCUUUACUGUAUUGAAUAAACUCUUUUUCAAUAGCUUCCAAUUUACACAUUUUUCAGUGUUAGAGGAUCAAUUUGUUGUUGCCAUUGCUCAUAUAUAGCCACUCUCCUUUAUUUCCUACUUUUCUCACAUACAAACACACACGAAAAACAUUAUCUAUUAUAUGCAUAUAAGCAUAAGAAUCAUCAUUUUAGCUGACUAUCUUAGACUGGACAAAAAGUAGUUACAAGCACUUAUUCUUAUGUCUUUGUGUUUGUGUUUGUGUUUGUGUUUGUGUGUAUGUGUCUGGUCAAGUUUUGAUUUUUAUGGAUUUUCAAGUUCUUUCAUGAAAUGGGAUUGAUGCACCAGUUUUGAAUUUGAUAAACUUGGUGUCCUUUAUUUUUUUUNAAUCAGAAGGUGAAGGUGAAGAUGAAGAUAAAAAUAUUUGUGGGUGUGUGUAUUUAUGUAUUUGCUUUUGCUGCUGCCUAAGCAUUUGAAUGUGUACUGAUUCCCUGUUUCUGCAGCCUGCACAAUUUCAACAACAUAUUGCAAUUAGGCAUGCAUAGUGAUAGAGAUACGAUCAUAUGAAAUGAUCAAGGAAUUAUGACCUGACACGAGAUGGGCAACCUGUUGCAGCUCCAUAUGGAAGUAGCA
RNAcentral lists this long non-coding RNA (2009 nucleotides) under Salvia miltiorrhiza (redroot sage). RNAcentral describes it as "long non-coding RNA (SMIL_LNC008436)". The record is from RNAcentral. Lineage: Eukaryota; Viridiplantae; Streptophyta; Magnoliopsida; Lamiales; Lamiaceae.